GACGAACGCUGGCGGCGUGCUUAACACAUGCAAGUCGAACGGAAAGGCCCUGCUUUUGUGGGGUGCUCGAGUGGCGAACGGGUGAGUAACACGUGAGUAACCUGCCCUUGACUUUGGGAUAACUUCAGGAAACUGGGGCUAAUACCGGAUAGGAGCUCCUGCUGCAUGGUGGGGGUUGGAAAGUUUCGGCGGUUGGGGAUGGACUCGCGGCUUAUCAGCUUGUUGGUGGGGUAGUGGCUUACCAAGGCUUUGACGGGUAGCCGGCCUGAGAGGGUGACCGGCCACAUUGGGACUGGGGUACGGCCCAGACUCCUACGGGAGGCAGCAGUGGGGAAUAUUGCACAAUGGGCGGAAGCCUGAUGCAGCAACGCCGCGUGCGGGAUGACGGCCUUCGGGUUGUAAACCGCUUUCGCCUGUGACGAAGCGUGAGUGACGGUAAUGGGUAGAGAAGCACCGGCUAACUACGUG
RNAcentral lists this ribosomal RNA (468 nucleotides) under uncultured bacterium. RNAcentral describes it as "partial 16S ribosomal RNA". It matches the Rfam family "Bacterial small subunit ribosomal RNA", at positions 28 to 507 of the family's 1533-position model. The record is from RNAcentral.